RNAcentral lists this ribosomal RNA (428 nucleotides) under uncultured bacterium. RNAcentral describes it as "bacterial SSU rRNA". It matches the Rfam family "Bacterial small subunit ribosomal RNA", at positions 355 to 796 of the family's 1533-position model. The record is from RNAcentral.
CCGAGAAUAUUCGACAAUGGGCGAAAGCCUGAUCGAGCGACACCGCGUGAUGGAUGAAGUCCCUAGGGACGUAAACAUCUUUUAUGAGGGAGAAAGUUUAUUGAUAGUACCUCACGAAUAAGGGGUUGCUAAACUCGUGCCAGCAGCAGCGGUAAUACGAGUGCCCCGAGCGUUAUCCGGAAUCAUUGGGCGUAAAGGGUGUGUAGGUGGCAGUGUUAGUCGUCUGUUAAAACCUGGGGCUUAACCCCAGAUGUGCGGACGAAACGGCACAGCUAGAGGAUGGCAGGGAUCUGUGGAACUCAUGGAGUAGGGGUGAAAUCCGUUGAUAUCAUGGGGAACACCAAAAGCGAAGGCAGCAGAUUGGGCCACUCCUGACACUGAAACACGAAAGCGUGGGUAGCGAAUGGGAUUAGAUACCCCCGUAGUCC